ACUCCUACGGGAGGCAGCAGUAAGGAAUAUUGCGCAAUGGGCGACAGCCUGACGCAGCGACGCCGCGUGGGGGAUGAAGGUCUUCGGAUUGUAAACCCCUUUCGGCGGGGAAGAUGGAACGGGCAACCGUUCGGACGGUACCUGCAGAAGCAGCCACGGCUAACUUCGUGCCAGCAGCCGCGGUAAUACGAAGGUGGCAAGCGUUGUUCGGAUUCACUGGGCGUACAGGGAGCGUAGGCGGUUAGGUAAGCCCUCCGUGAAAUCUCCGGGCCUAACCCGGAAAGUGCAGAGGGGACUGCUUGGCUAGAGGAUGGGAGAGGAGCGCGGAAUUCCCG
Molecule: ribosomal RNA, 335 nt
Filed under: uncultured bacterium
Lineage: Bacteria
Description: bacterial SSU rRNA
Rfam family: Bacterial small subunit ribosomal RNA
Source: RNAcentral